GUGAGUAAUGCUUGGGAAUCUGCCCAAUAGUGGGGGAUAACGUGUGGAAACGACUGCUAAUACCGCAUACGCCCUACGGGGGAAAGCAGGGGACCUUCGGGCCUUGCGCUGAUGGAUAAGCCCAGGUGGGAUUAGCUAGUAGGUGAGGUAAAGGCUCACCUAGGCGACGAUCCCUAGCUGGUCUGAGAGGAUGAUCAGCCACACUGGGACUGAGACACGGCCCAGACUCC
This 230-nucleotide ribosomal RNA is filed under the name uncultured bacterium. RNAcentral describes it as "partial 16S ribosomal RNA". It matches the Rfam family "Bacterial small subunit ribosomal RNA", at positions 106 to 339 of the family's 1533-position model. The record is from RNAcentral.